UACGGAGGGGGCUAGCGUUGUUCGGAAUUACUGGGCGUAAAGCGCACGUAGGCGGCUUUGUAAGUUAGAGGUGAAAUCCCGGGGCUCAACUCCGGAACUGCCUUUGAUACUGCAUCGCUUGAACGUCGGAGAGGUGAGUGGAAUUCCGGGUGUAGAGGUGAAAUUCGUAGAUAUUCGGAAGAACACCAGUGGCGAAGGCGGCUCACUGGACGACUGUUGACGCUGAGGUGCGAAAGCGUGGGGAGCAAACAGG
RNAcentral lists this ribosomal RNA (253 nucleotides) under uncultured bacterium. RNAcentral's name for it is "partial 16S ribosomal RNA". It matches the Rfam family "Bacterial small subunit ribosomal RNA", at positions 524 to 776 of the family's 1533-position model. The record is from RNAcentral.